This 678-nucleotide long non-coding RNA is filed under the name Oryza sativa Indica Group (long-grained rice). Its description in RNAcentral is "lncRNA OsMH63_03G016730". Lineage: Eukaryota; Viridiplantae; Streptophyta; Magnoliopsida; Poales; Poaceae. The record is from RNAcentral.
AGGAUCGGUCAAAGCAAAAAAAAAAAAAAAAAAAAAAAAGGAACGCUCCCUUUUGUGCGCCAGCCCGCCGCCGCCUCCUCCCGCCGGAGCCGCUCAGCUCCUCCUAGCGCGCGCCAGCCCGCUGCCGCCGCCUCCCGCCGGAGCUGCUCGCCUCCUUCACGUGCUCGCCCGCCGGAGCCGCCUCACCCUACCCACCGCUGCCUGCUUCCCUGCUCGCGCCGCGCCGUGAUGGAGAGGAAAGAGAGGCGGGGUCUGCUCGCCCUACCCCGCCGCCUCCUCGCGUGCGCAGGCCGGACAUCCGGGCGUCGCCGCCGGAAAGGGGAUAUGAGGUGGCGGAGAUUCUUGCUAGGAGGAGGAGAGGGGGCCAUUGGAGGAGGGCUAGAGGUCGCUGCGCAUGGCCCGUGGGCGGAGGACGUCAGCGUCGGCGAGGUUGACUGGGCAAGAGGCGAGCGUCAACAGACGUUCCAGGGAGGAGCAGUCCGCUGGCGCGGUCGCAUGAGAGGGUGCCGACCGGAGGCAGAGCCGAGGACCCCUAGGACCGCACCCGCGCCACCACUGCUGCCAUCGUCAACAUCCUAUAUGAUUUUUCGUUGUUGUUGUUAUCAGGGAUGCGCUGGAACAAGGGCACAGGACCAGGGCCGCUGGACAUCAUCGAUGCUAGCAACAGUUGAGGAUUGA